GUACGCACUGAUUUCGCUGAUUCCUCCUUUCUCCAGAACCGUAAUGUCAUUCAUUUGGUGUUGCAGAAAAACAGGACUGUUACUUUGAAAAAAUUAGAGUGUUUAAAGCAGGCUAACGCUUGAAUACAUUAGCGUGGAAUAAUGAAAUAGGACGUUUGAUCCUAUUUUGUUGGUUUCUAGGAUUGACGUAAUGAUUAAUAGGGAUAGUUGGGGGCAUUAGUAUUCAAUUGUCAGAGGUGAAAUUCUUGGAUUUAUUGAAGACUAACUACUGCGAAAGCAUUUGCCAAGGAUGUUUUCAUUAAUCAAGAACGAAAGUUAGGGGAUCGAAGACGAUCAGAUACCGUCGUAGUCUUAACCAUAAACUAUGCCGACUAGGGAUCGGGUGAUGUUAAUUUUUUAAUGACUCA
RNAcentral lists this ribosomal RNA (407 nucleotides) under uncultured fungus. RNAcentral's name for it is "SSU rRNA". It matches the Rfam family "Eukaryotic small subunit ribosomal RNA", at positions 673 to 1078 of the family's 1831-position model. Lineage: Eukaryota; Fungi. The record is from RNAcentral.